GAUGAACGCUGGCGGCGUGCCUAAUACAUGCAAGUCGAGCGAACAGAUGAGGAGCUUGCUCCUCUGACGUUAGCGGCGGACGGGUGAGUAACACGUGGAUAACCUACCUAUAAGACUGGGAUAACUUCGGGAAACCGGAGCUAAUACCGGAUAAUAUAUUGAACCGCAUGGUUCAAUAGUGAAAGACGGUUUUGCUGUCACUUAUAGAUGGAUCCACGCCGCAUUAGCUAGUUGGUAAGGUAACGGCUUACCAAGGCAACGAUGCGUAGCCGACCUGAGAGGGUGAUCGGCCACACUGGAACGGAGACACGGUCCAGACUCCUACGGGAGGCAGCAGUAGGGAAUCUUCCGCAAUGGGCGAAAGCCUGACGGAGCAACGCCGCGUGAGUGAUGAAGGUCUUCGGAUCGUAAAACUCUGUUAUUAGGGAAGAACAAAUGUGUAAGUAACUAUGCACGUCUUGACGGUACCUAAUCAGAAAGCCACGGCUAACUACGUG
Molecule: ribosomal RNA, 497 nt
Filed under: uncultured bacterium
Lineage: Bacteria
Description: partial 16S ribosomal RNA
Rfam family: Bacterial small subunit ribosomal RNA
Source: RNAcentral